Molecule: long non-coding RNA, 728 nt
Filed under: Oryza brachyantha (malo sina)
Lineage: Eukaryota; Viridiplantae; Streptophyta; Magnoliopsida; Poales; Poaceae
Description: long non-coding RNA (OBRA_LNC003229)
Source: RNAcentral
UCUUAGUAAUAAAAGAUGGAGAUAUAAGCGAGUGAGCCCAAGUGCUACAAGCUGCCGAAGAGAAAUGGAGAAUUACACUCAGGAGUUGAGGACUGGUGUUGAUGAGGUGACUAUGAUAGGCCUGAGAAGCAUCAGAAGCUCCUGUGGAAGUGUGCACUUGAAAAAAAAAAGGAUGAUAUGGAUGUGUUUUUCUAACAAGUGAACGUUACUAUGCCAGAUCCCCUUAACCCUGACGAUCCAUUUAUGAUGGCCUUAUAGUAAUAUGUCACAGCCUGCUCAUCUCUGAUAGGUCUAAAUAUAGGGUUGUCACAUGUGGUGUGGUGUUAGACAGACUCAGAGUACGGAGAUGGCUUACCUCUGUUGAUGAUGAUAUCAUUAAUGAACUUUAGUUUUUAUCAUAUUCUUGACAAUGAUAUAAUGAAAUUCCUCAAUCUUUAGCAUCUUCCAAAUGAUACUAAAGUUCCUCGACUGCUCUGGCUCAGUAACUAAACAGAUGAAAGAAAGCACAAGUAUUAAAAGAUUCAUGUAUCAUAUCCUGGGCUUGCCAUGCCACGGUGAUCAACCAGCAUCUGGAGGAAGUAGACUAGGCUAAACUUGGUUUUGUCAGCAGCGGCGUCAGAAAGACAAUUUGACGCUAAUGUCUACAUGGCUACGUAAUCUACCUUACCUAAAGCCAUGAAAACAACGAGACUGAAAACUAGAUGAAUAAUUGGAACAAUAGUCAGGUU